Non-coding RNA from Onthophagus taurus, 859 nucleotides. The record is from RefSeq and is a predicted model, not a curated record. NCBI's taxonomy places the organism in Eukaryota, Metazoa, Arthropoda, Insecta, Coleoptera, Scarabaeidae.
UUGAGAAUUAUUUAUUUAAGUGAUGCGCAAUUAGCUGAGAUGAGCCUCGUUGCCAUGGUGACGAAGCGAAUCCAAUACAAACAAACAAAGCGUUAUCGAGAAAAACAUUAAUUUUGAAAUUAAGAUUAAUUAAUAACAUUUUAUUCAUAAAGUAAAGACAACAAAACUGUUUGUUGCAUAAAUUUGUUAAUAUCAAUAUUCAUUUCAGAGAAAGCUGUUGAAACACACUAUGAGGAGAGGAAUUAAAAUAAAUAUGGGGUGAAGAAUAUCGAAUGAGACAUGUUAGGAAGAUCCAAUUUAGCUGCGAUAACAAAAUUAUUGGAAUCGAAUUAAGCUGGAAAUAUGACGAGGUACGCUUUUCAUGACUGGGUGUUAAAAUUCCUUUUUUUAUCAAAAUCAUUUCGAUUUUGACACCUUCAUCUUAAAAUUAUGGAUUUAGACGAUCUUAUCACCAUAUUUAUUUUCAUGGUCUAUUUCUGCAUCAUGCUGCAAGGUUGAGAGUGUAAUAACUGUUUUCUUGUGUUUAGGGGUUUUCUUUGUUGCGAAAAACUAGCAACUUCUUAACUCUCCAUCACUGUUCCCUUCUAAUUAACAAGGAUCAUGUGGAACAUGUUAAAAAAUAGAAAUUUGAUAUGAAUUGAAAUAAUUUUUUAAAGUGAGGUUAUGUCUGUUUUGUAAAUGUCAAAAUUUGGGUAAACAUAACCUAUAAUAAUGAAGAUUUAUUUUAAUGGUUUAAAUCUAAAGUUAUAACAGAUAUUUUUUCUUAUCAUCUUCAAUUCUAACAUUCCCACAUAAAAUAAUAAUCAAUAUAACAUGUACUAAUAGCUCUUCUGGAGUAUUCGUAUCAAAAGGUAUUCGA